RNAcentral lists this ribosomal RNA (301 nucleotides) under uncultured bacterium. RNAcentral's name for it is "partial 16S ribosomal RNA". It matches the Rfam family "Bacterial small subunit ribosomal RNA", at positions 509 to 808 of the family's 1533-position model. The record is from RNAcentral.
CAGUAGCCGCGGGAAUACGGAGGGUGCAAGCGUUAUCCGGAUUUAUUGGGUUUAAAGGGUCCGUAGGCGGAUCUGUAAGUCAGUGGUGAAAUCUCACAGCUUAACUGUGAAACUGCCAUUGAUACUGCAGGUCUUGAGUAAAUUUGAAGUGGCUGGAAUAAGUAGUGUAGCGGUGAAAUGCAUAGAUAUUACUUAGAACACCAAUUGCGAAGGCAGGUCACUAAGAUUUAACUGACGCUGAUGGACGAAAGCGUGGGGAGCGAACAGGAUUAGAUACCCCGUAGUCCCUGUCUCUUAUACA